GAUGAACGCUGGCGGCGUGCCUAAUACAUGCAAGUCGAGCGAACGGACGAGAAGCUUGCUUUUCUGAUGUUAGCGGCGGACGGGUGAGUAACACGUGGAUAACCUACCUAUAAGACUGGGAUAACUUCGGGAAACCGAAGCUAAUACCGGAUAAUAUUUUGAACCGCAUGGUUCAAAAGUGAAAGACGGUCUUGCUGUCACUUAUAGAUGGAUCCGCGCUGCAUUAGCUAGUUGGUAAGGUAACGGCUUACCAAGGCAACGAUGCGUAGCCGACCUGAGAGGGUGAUCGGCCACACUGGAACUGAGACACGGUCCAGACUCCUACGGGAGGCAGCAGUAGGGAAUCUUCCGCAAAGGGCGAAAGCCUGACGGAGCAACGCCGCGUGAGUGAUGAAGGUCUUCGGAUCGUAAAACUCUGUUAUUAGGGAAGAACAUAUGUGUAAGUAACUGUGCACGUCUUGACGGUACCUAAUCAGAAAGCCACGGCUAACUACGUG
RNAcentral lists this ribosomal RNA (497 nucleotides) under uncultured bacterium. Its description in RNAcentral is "partial 16S ribosomal RNA". It matches the Rfam family "Bacterial small subunit ribosomal RNA", at positions 28 to 507 of the family's 1533-position model. The record is from RNAcentral.